RNAcentral lists this ribosomal RNA (253 nucleotides) under uncultured bacterium. RNAcentral's name for it is "partial 16S ribosomal RNA". It matches the Rfam family "Bacterial small subunit ribosomal RNA", at positions 524 to 776 of the family's 1533-position model. The record is from RNAcentral.
UACGAAGGGGGCUAGCGUUGUUCGGAAUCACUGGGCGUAAAGGGCGCGUAGGCGGCUUUAUAAGUCGGGGGUGAAAGCCUGUGGCUCAACCACAGAAUUGCCUUCGAUACUGUAGAGCUUGAGACCGGAAGAGGUUAGUGGAACUGCGAGUGUAGAGGUGAAAUUCGUAGAUAUUCGCAAGAACACCGGUGGCGAAGGCGGCCAACUGGACCAUUACUGGACGCUGAGGCGCGAAAGCGUGGGAGCAAACAGG